UUGACUCUUCGUCUUAUUUUAAAAAAAAUUUACGAUUAAUAUUUUUAUUUUUAUUAGAUGAUAAAAUAUAAAAAGUAUUUUAUGUAUGACUAAUUGUUUUAAAUUUUAUUAAAAAAUUUUUAAAUAAGACGGACGGUCAA
This 140-nucleotide microRNA precursor is filed under the name Oryza brachyantha (malo sina). Its description in RNAcentral is "MIR812 microRNA precursor family". It matches the Rfam family "MIR812 microRNA precursor family", at positions 34 to 172 of the family's 205-position model. Lineage: Eukaryota; Viridiplantae; Streptophyta; Magnoliopsida; Poales; Poaceae. The record is from Rfam by way of RNAcentral.